RNAcentral lists this ribosomal RNA (530 nucleotides) under uncultured fungus. Its description in RNAcentral is "partial 28S ribosomal RNA". It matches the Rfam family "Eukaryotic large subunit ribosomal RNA", at positions 37 to 568 of the family's 3401-position model. The record is from RNAcentral. Lineage: Eukaryota; Fungi.
AGCAUAUCAAUAAGCGGAGGAAAAGAAACCAACAGGGAUUGCCCCAGUAACGGCGAGUGAAGCGGCANGAGNUCAGAUUUGAAAUCCGGCAGGUUAUGCUUNCCNGAGUUGUAAUNUGGAGAGAGGACUUCGGUUUAGGCAUCGGUCAAGAUUCCUUGGAAUAGGAUGACAUAGAGGGUGAGAAUCCCGUACCUGGNUGACCGCNGACACCANGNGAAGNUUNUUNGACGAGUNGAGUUGUUUGGGAAUGCAGCUNUAAAUGGGUGGUAAAUUCCAUNUAAAGNUAAAUAUNUGCGAGAGACCGAUAGCGCACAAGUAGAGUGAUNGAAAGANGAAAAGCACUUUGAAAAGAGAGUUAAAAAGUACGNGAAAUUGUUGAAAGGGAAGCGCUUGCCAUCAGAAUUGGGGCCGGCCGAUCAGCGUUCCUUNUGGUUNGNGCACUCGGCCGGCAUCCGUGCCAGCACCAGUUGCGGUGGCAUGAUAAAGGCGGAGGGAAUGNGGCUCCCCUCGGGGAGUGUUAUAGCCCACCG